This 481-nucleotide long non-coding RNA is filed under the name Carica papaya (papaya). RNAcentral describes it as "long non-coding RNA (CPAP_LNC003075)". The record is from RNAcentral. Lineage: Eukaryota; Viridiplantae; Streptophyta; Magnoliopsida; Brassicales; Caricaceae.
UAACUAGAAGAAAGAUCAAAAUUAAUUAACUCAAUCGGCAGCAUCGAAUCGAAUUGACAACAUAACAUGGGUUAAAUUAAUUAUUUUUUAUUUUUAGUUAGGGAUUUGAAUAAACCAUCAUAGAGGAAGGAUUUAGGUAUUCUUUCUUGAAUCUCAAACGAAUGAAGGAAUCGAAAAGUUUGAACAAAUUCAGUUUUCACCACGUUCGGCUUCCCAUCCAGUUUUUUAAUCUCUAUUUUCAAAGAUAUCUAUACAUACGAUUAAGGGUUUGAUUUAAAAGAUGAAUAAUCGAAUGUCAGAUAGAAAAAGAUUUAUCGAAAUCGACAUCAGAUUCAGACUCUUGGCCCAAAGAAAUGUAAUUUUAUUUCCUCCCUUUGGUGACUCCUUCAUUGCUGCACUUUGACGCCCUCACGCAGUGACCAUCCACUCGAGUCGAUUUCACGUGGCUCUCUCUCUCUCUUUUCUUCUCUUUCUCUCUUUU